UGUUCAGAUCAUGGAUGGAAAGAUUUUAAGGCAAAAAAGACACCCAGAAAUGAUUUUCCACACAAGGCACCUGGUCCCAAUCAUCAUCACUUCUGAUGAUGUCACAUACACAGCGAGUCCACAACGUCUUAAAAUUGUUUCUGUAAAGUGCAGUGGUGCAGUGAAUGGGAAUGUUCUGUC
This is a long non-coding RNA of Poecilia latipinna (sailfin molly), 180 nucleotides long. RefSeq lists it as uncharacterized. The transcript is spliced from 3 exons. The record is from RefSeq and is a predicted model, not a curated record. NCBI's taxonomy places the organism in Eukaryota, Metazoa, Chordata, Actinopteri, Cyprinodontiformes, Poeciliidae.